CGGUGGAUGAGUUGUGUAUAGGGGUGAAAUGCCAAUCGAACCCGGAGCUAGCUGGUUCUCCCUGAAAGGCGUUGAGGCACCGCGUCGGACGUAUCUUAUAGGGGGUAGAGCACUAGUUCGGUGCGGGCGGAGAAAAUCCGUACCAAAUCGAGUUAAACUCCGAAUACCUAUAACGUUUAUCCGGCAGUGAGACGGCGAGAGAUAAGUUCCGUCGUCGAGAGGGAAACAGCCCAGACCACCGACUAAGGACCCCAAGUUCACGCUAAGUGAUUAAGGAGGUGGAGUUGCAUUGACAACCAGGAUGUUGGCUUAGAAGCAGCCACCAUUGAAAGAAAGCGUAAUAGCUCACUGGUCAAGCGACUCUGCGCCGAAAACGUACGGGGCUAAGCGUGACUCCGAAAUCGUGGGAGCGAUACUAUUUCGAUAGUAUUUUUCAGUAAGGGAGCGUCGUGUUGUAGGCUGAAGUGAGAGCGUAAGCACUCAUGGACGAAGCACGAGUGAGAAUGUCGGCUUAAGUAGCGAAAACAUUGGUUAGAAUCCAAUGCACCGAAAGACUAAGGGUUCCUGCGCAAGGCUCGACCACGCAGGGUUAGUCAGGGGCUAAGGCGAGGCCGAAAGGCGUAGUCGAUGCACAACGGGUUAAUAUUCCCGUACCACCUAAUAACCGUUAGGAGCUAAGUCGGAAAGCAGGAGGCUAUGCGAAAGGGGCCAAUGGAUAUGGUCUCCUCCAACAGCGUAGGUAGUUUCAGUAGGCAAAUCCGCUGAGACGUUAUAAACUGAGGCUAAGUAAGGUAGAUUCCACGGAAUCAACUUCGUAGAUGCCAUGCUGCCGAGAAAAGCGGCGAAAGCCAGGUUAGUGGGUGCCUGUACCCGAAACCGACACAGGUAGUCAGGUAGAGUAUACCAAGGUGCGCGAGAUAACUCUCUCUAAGGAACUCGGCAAAUUGACCUCGUAACUUCGGAAGAAGAGGUGCCAUGGUAGAGUGUAGGCCUUCGCGGUCGAAGCUCGAGAUGGUUGCAAAAUCUAGGCUCAAGCGACUGUUUAACAAAAACACAGGUCUCUGCAAAACCGUAAGGUGAAGUAUAGGGGCUGACGCGUGCCCAGUGCCGGAAGGUUAAGUGGAGCGGUCAGCGUAAGCGAAGCUGCAAAACAAAGCCCCGGUGAACGGCGGCCGUAACUAUAACGGUCCUAAGGUAGCGAAAUUCCUUGUCGGGUAAGUUCCGACCCGCACGAAACGCGUAACGAUUUGAGCACUGUCUCGGAGAGAGGCUCGGCGAAAUAGGAGUGUCUGUGAAGAUACGGACUAGGCGUGCCAGGACAGAAAGACCCUAUUGAGCUUUACUGUAGGCUGAAAUUGUCCGCGGGUUAUAUUUGCGCAGAAUAGGUGGGAAGCUUUGAAGCGAGGAUUUCGGUUCUCGUGGAGCUAUCGUUGAGAUACCACUCUGAUGUAGCUAGCGUACUAACCUCGUUCCAUGAAUCUGGGCGGGGAACAGUUUCAGUUGGGCAGUUUGAC
Molecule: ribosomal RNA, 1514 nt
Filed under: bioreactor metagenome
Description: bacterial LSU rRNA
Rfam family: Bacterial large subunit ribosomal RNA
Source: RNAcentral